RNAcentral lists this ribosomal RNA (224 nucleotides) under Candidatus Peregrinibacteria bacterium. Its description in RNAcentral is "partial 23S ribosomal RNA". It matches the Rfam family "Bacterial large subunit ribosomal RNA", at positions 2678 to 2912 of the family's 2925-position model. The record is from RNAcentral. Lineage: Bacteria; Candidatus Peregrinibacteriota.
CUAGUACGAGAGGACCGGAGUGGACGAACCUCUGGUGUACCUGUUGUCGCGUCAGCGGCAGAGCAGGAUAGCUAUGUUCGGCAGAGAUAACCGCUGAAGGCAUCUAAGCGGGAAGCUCCUCCUAAGAUUGCGUUUCUCCACAAGUCCGCCGGAAGAUGACCGGUUAGAUCGGCCACAGGUGUAAGCACGGCAACGUGUUCAGCUGAGUGGUACGAACGGACGAA